This is a long non-coding RNA of Chenopodium quinoa (quinoa), 846 nucleotides long. RefSeq lists it as uncharacterized. The record is from RefSeq and is a predicted model, not a curated record. NCBI's taxonomy places the organism in Eukaryota, Viridiplantae, Streptophyta, Magnoliopsida, Caryophyllales, Amaranthaceae. The transcript has 2 exons.
CUGAUCUGAAAUUAAGCUGAAGUGAACAGGCGCUAAGACCUAAAGGGCAAGUAGUAGUGGAUUGGGCCGGGUCUUUUCGGUCUGUUUCUUAUUUUUUUUGGUUUUUCUAUAGAAAGAAUAGCGUUAAAUUUCGUUUUCUGGUCGUAUUCUACUAUUCUCUAGCCCAGUGGCAACGAACACAAGGUGAAAAAAGUAGAAUGGCACCGUCUUAAUGGCACCGGUUCUUCAAAACCGGUGGCAAAAACAUGGGUUAAAGUAGGCGGGUUUUAAUUUUUAGAAGAGGUUUUUGGCACCGGUCUGAACCGAACCGGUGCCAAAAACCUUUUUUAAAAAAAAAAAAAAACUCUUAUAUAUUUCCCUAAACCCUACCCUCCCUCCUCUCUUCUCUCUCCUGAUCUCCUCUAGCCUCCUCUCUUCUCUCUCCUGAUCUCCUCUAGCCUCCUCUCUUCUCUCUCCUCUCCUCUCCUCUCUCUCUUCUCUCUCCUCUCUCCUCUCCCUAAAAAAAACCCCCUUGUUCACCUAAACACCACCGAAGACGACCACCAACACCACCACCAAGUCCAAUACUCAAGACCACGAACAACAACGAAUCUAAUCAAGAUGGGUACAUCAAUUUAGAUCUUAAAUUGAAGAAUCAAGAUUCAAGAAUAUUGAUUUAGAUGUGUAGGGUUAAUUUUUUAUUUAUAUUCUAAUUUUUUUUUAUUUACGAGUAUAUUGUAAUUUUUUUAAUUUAUAAUGUAAAUUUUAUUUAUUUAUUUAUAUGUUGUAAUUGAUUGUAAUAUUUUUUUUAUUAUAUAUUGUAAAAUUUGGAUUAUAUUGAUUGAAAUUCGUCAGAUUUAAUUGUGA